Molecule: unclassified non-coding RNA, 458 nt
Filed under: Hevea brasiliensis (rubber tree)
Lineage: Eukaryota; Viridiplantae; Streptophyta; Magnoliopsida; Malpighiales; Euphorbiaceae
Source: RNAcentral
UGGAUAUGAAUUCUUUGCAGACAGACAGUUGGUUACUAUAUUCUCAGCACCAAACUACUGUGGAGAGUUUAACAAUGCAGGUGCACUCAUGUGCGUCAAUGAAAGUUUGCUCUGCUCAUUUCAGAUUCUCAAGCCCUGGAAAGGAAAAGCAGAACAACUGGAAUAGUUCCUGUGCGACAGGGAAGCACCUCUUCUACACCAUAGUCAAAUUAGCUAGUGCUCUGUCUCUUUUGACAUGUACAAUAUUCAUCUUCCAAUUCAAAACAAGCCUCUGUAUCAUAGGUUACUUCAUGUAAUCGAGAUGAUUUUAGAAAGAAAGCUGUGUAGUGUAUAUAAUCCCUUAUAUGUGCAACUGUUGGUUUGUACCUUUGAAACAAACAAGUGGGUGCAUAUUCCCUCUAUUUGUUCCUCCAAGUUGAUCACCUGCUUACAGCAUUCUCGGUGCAAAAGCUUCCAAG